AGAGAGUUUAACUGGGGUAGUUUUUUUGUAAAAUCUGAGGUUGUAAAAGACAUGUAAGGUGGGAUUAGGUCCUUUAGAUAAGGAUAAUUUGAGUGAGUUACUUUAGGGAUAACAGCGUAAUAGUCCUAGGGAGAUCGUAUCUAUGGGAUUGAUUGCGACCUCGAUGUUGAAUUAAAAGCUCAGUGUAGAGUAGAAGCUACAGGGUGAGGGUUUGUUCAACCUUUAAAUUUUUACAUGAUCUGAG
This 244-nucleotide ribosomal RNA is filed under the name Eurythenes gryllus. RNAcentral's name for it is "partial 16S ribosomal RNA". The stretch from base 108 to 244 matches the Rfam family "Bacterial large subunit ribosomal RNA", at positions 2473 to 2609 of the family's 2925-position model. The record is from RNAcentral. Lineage: Eukaryota; Metazoa; Arthropoda; Malacostraca; Amphipoda; Lysianassidae.